This 1007-nucleotide ribosomal RNA is filed under the name Mucor ctenidius. RNAcentral's name for it is "LSU rRNA". It matches the Rfam family "Eukaryotic large subunit ribosomal RNA", at positions 44 to 958 of the family's 3401-position model. Lineage: Eukaryota; Fungi; Mucoromycota; Mucoromycetes; Mucorales; Mucoraceae. The record is from RNAcentral.
CAAUAAGCGGAGGAAAGAAAAUAACAAUGAUUUCCCUAGUAACGGCGAAGUGAAGAAGGAAAGAAGCUCAAAGUUGGAAACUGUUUGGCUUAGCUAAACCGUAUUGUAAACUGUAGAAACAUUUUCCUGGCACACCAGAUUAAUAAGUCCUUUGGAACAAGGCAUCAUGGAGGGUGAGAAUCCCGUCUUUGAUCUGAGUAGUUGUCUUUUGUGAUAUGUUUUCAAAGAGUCAGGUUGUUUGGGAAUGCAGCCUAAAUUGGGUGGUAAAUCUCACCUAAAGCUAAAUAUCUGCGAGAGACCGAUAGCGAACAAGUACCGUGAGGGAAAGAUGAAAAGAACUUUGAAAAGAGAGUUAAACAGUAUGUGAAAUUGUUAAAAGGGAACCGUUUGGAGCCAGACUGGUUUGACUGUAAUCAACCUAGAAUUCGUUUUGGGUGCACUUGCAGUCUAUACCUGCCAACAACAGUUUGAUUUGGAGGAAAAAAUUAGUAGGAAUGUGGCCUUUCGAGGUGUUAUAGCCUAUUAUCAUACUCUGGAUUGGACUGAGGAACGCAGCGAAUGCCUUUAGGCGAGAUUGCUGGGUGCUUUCGCUAAUAAAUGUUAGAAUUUCUGCUUCGGGUGGUGCUAAUGUUUAAAGGAGGAACACAUCUAGUAUAUUUUUUAUUCGCUUAGGUUGUUGGCUUAAUGACUCUAAAUGACCCGUCUUGAAACACGGACCAAGGAGUCCACCAUAAGUGCAAGUAUUUGAGUGACAAACUCAUAUGCGUAAGGAAACUGAUUGAUACGAAGUCUUUUGAUGGCAGUAUCACCCGGCGUUGACGUUUUAUACUGAACUGACCGAGGUAAAGCACUUAUGAUGGGACCCGAAAGAUGGUGAACUAUGCCUGAAUAGGGUGAAGCCAGAGGAAACUCUGGUGGAGGCUCGUAGCGAUUCUGACGUGCAAAUCGAUUCGUCAAAUUUGGGUAUAGGGGCGAAAGACUAAUCGAACCAUCUAGUAGCUGGUCUG